GCAUAAGCCCACGGCUCGGCAUCGAGCAGAGGGAAAAGGAGCAAUCCGCUUUGAGAUGGCCUCGCGUCCGAUUAGCUAGUUGGUGAGGUAAUGGCUCACCAAGGCGACGAUCGGUAGCCGGACUGAGAGGUUGAACGGCCACAUUGGGACUGAGACACGGCCCAGACUCCUACGGGAGGCAGCAGUGGGGAAUAUUGCACAAUGGGGGAAACCCUGAUGCAGCGACGCCGCGUGGAGGAAGAAGGUCUUCGGAUUGUAAACUCCUGUUGUUGGGGAAGAUAACGACGGUACCCAACAAGGAAGUGACGGCUAACUACGUGCCAGCAGCCGCGGUAAAACGUAGGUCACAAGCGUUGUCCGGAAUUACUGGGUGUAAAGGGAGCGCAGGCGGGAAGACAAGUUGGAAGUGAAAUCUAUGGGCUCAACCCAUAAACUGCUUUCAAAACUGUUUUUCUUGAGUAGUGCAGAGGUAGGCGGAAUUCCCGGUGUAGCGGUGGAAUGCGUAGAUAUCGGGAGGAACACCAGUGGCGAAGGCGGCCUACUGGGCACCAACUGACGCUGAGGCUCGAAAGUGUGGGUAGCAAACAGGAUUAGAUACCCUGGUAGUCCACACCGUAAACGAUGAUUACUAGGUGUUGGAGGAUUGACCCCUUCAGUGCCGCAGUUAACACAAUAAGUAAUCCACCUGGGGAGUACGACCGCAAGGUUGAAACUCAAAGGAAUUGACGGGGGCCCGCACAAGCAGUGGAGUAUGUGGUUUAAUUCGACGCAACGCGAAGAACCUUACCAAGUCUUGACAUCCCUUGACAGACAUAGAAAUAUGUAUUCUCUUGGAGCAAGGAGACAGGUGGUGCAUGGUUGUCGUCAGCUCGUGUCGUGAGAUGUUGGGUUAAGACCCGCAACGAGCGCAACCCUUAUGGUCAGUUACUACGCAAGAGGACUCUGGCCAGACUGCCGUUGACAAAACGGAGGAAGGUGGGGAUGACGUCAAAUCAUCAUGCCCUUUAUGACUUGGGCUACACACGUACUACAAUGGCGUUAAACAAAGAGAAGCAAGACCGCGAGGUGGAGCAAAACUCAGAAACAACGUCCCAGUUCGGACUGCAGGCUGCAACUCGCCUGCACGAAGUCGGAAUUGCUAGUAAUCGUGGAUCAGCAUGCCACGGUGAAUACGUUCCCGGGCCUUGUACACACCGCCCGUCACACCAUGAGAGCCGGGGGGACCCGAAGUCGGUAGUCUAACCGCAAGGAGGACGCCGCCGAAGGUAAAACUGGUGAUUGGGGUGAAGUCGAAACAAGGU
Molecule: ribosomal RNA, 1301 nt
Filed under: metagenome
Description: bacterial SSU rRNA
Rfam family: Bacterial small subunit ribosomal RNA
Source: RNAcentral